AUUGAACGCUGGCGGCAUGCCUUACACAUGCAAGUCGAACGGUAACAGGUCUUCGGAUGCUGACGAGUGGCGAACGGGUGAGUAAUACAUCGGAACGUGCCUAGUAGUGGGGGAUAACUACUCGAAAGAGUGGCUAAUACCGCAUGAGAUCUACGGAUGAAAGCAGGGGAUCGCAAGACCUUGUGCUACUAGAGCGGCCGAUGGCAGAUUAGGUAGUUGGUGGGAUAAAAGCUUACCAAGCCGACGAUCUGUAGCCGGUCUGAGAGGACGAUCGGCCACACUGGGAGUGGGACACGGCCAAGACUCCUACGGGAGGCAGAAGGGGGGAAUUUUGGACAAUGGCGAAAGCCUGAUCCAGCAAUGCCGCGUGCAGGAGGAGGGCCUUCGGGUUGUAAACUGCUUUUGUGCGGAACGAAAAGCCCCGGGUUAAUACCCUGGGGUUAUGACGGUACCGUAAGAAUAAGCACCGGCUAACUACGUGCCAGCAGCCGCCGUAU
RNAcentral lists this ribosomal RNA (497 nucleotides) under uncultured bacterium. RNAcentral describes it as "partial 16S ribosomal RNA". It matches the Rfam family "Bacterial small subunit ribosomal RNA", at positions 30 to 523 of the family's 1533-position model. The record is from RNAcentral.